GACGAACGCUGGCGGCGCGCUUAACACAUGCAAGUCGAACGGAAAGGCCUGCUUUCCCUUGUGGAUUGCGGGUACUCGAGUGGCGAACGGGUGAGUAACACGUGAGUGAUCUGCCCCCAACUUGGGUAUAAGCCUGGGAAACUGGGUCUAAUUCCCGAUAGGACUGCAGGGUGGUGCCUGUGGUGGAACACGAUUUCUAGUGGUUGGGGAUGAGCUCGCGGCCUAUCAGCUUGUUGGUGGGGUAAUGGCCUACCAAGGCGGCGACGGGUAGCCGGCCUGAGAGGGUGGACGGCCACAUUGGGACUGAGAUACGGCCCAGACUCCUACGGGAGGCAGCAGGGGGGAAUAUUGCACAAUGGGCGGAAGCCUGAUGCAGCGACGCCGCGUGGGGGAUGACGGCCUUCGGGUUGUAAACUCCUUUCGACCGCGAGGAAGCCACCUGGUUGGAAGGGUGGUGACGGUAGUGGUAGAAGAAGUACCGGCUAACUACGUG
This 493-nucleotide ribosomal RNA is filed under the name uncultured bacterium. RNAcentral describes it as "partial 16S ribosomal RNA". It matches the Rfam family "Bacterial small subunit ribosomal RNA", at positions 28 to 507 of the family's 1533-position model. The record is from RNAcentral.